RNAcentral lists this ribosomal RNA (292 nucleotides) under uncultured bacterium. RNAcentral describes it as "partial 16S ribosomal RNA". The record is from RNAcentral.
GGACUACCGGGGUAUCUAAUCCUGUUUGCUACCCUAGCUUUCGCGCCUCAGCGUCAGUAUGGGACCAGAGAGCCGCCUUCGCCACAGGUGUUCCUCCUGAUAUCUACGCAUUUCACCGCUACACCAGGAAUUCCGCCCUCCUCUACCCAACUCAAGUCGGACAGUUUCAAAUGCAAUUACCGGGUUGAGCCCGGUGAUUUCACAUCUGACUUAUCCAACCGCCUACGCGCCCUUUACGCCCAGUAAUUCCGGACAACGUUUGACACCUCUGUAUUACCGCGGCUGCUGGCAC